AGGAUAGGUGGUAGGUAGUU
Molecule: non-coding RNA, 20 nt
Filed under: Arabidopsis thaliana (thale cress)
Lineage: Eukaryota; Viridiplantae; Streptophyta; Magnoliopsida; Brassicales; Brassicaceae
Source: RNAcentral